Non-coding RNA from Podarcis lilfordi (Lilford's wall lizard), 83 nucleotides. Lineage: Eukaryota; Metazoa; Chordata; Lepidosauria; Squamata; Lacertidae. The record is from the annotation of a GenBank genome assembly.
GACAGGCUGUAGGUCAGUGGUAGAGCAUCUGCUUUGCAUGCAAAAGGUCCCAGGUUCAAUCCCCAACAACCCCAGGUAGUGUU